CCUACGGGUGGCAGCAGUGAGGAAUAUUGGUCAAUGGGAGAGAUCCUGAACCAGCCAAGCCGCGUGAGGGAAGACGGCCCUAUGGGUUGUAAACCUCUUUUGUCGGAGAACAAAACCCGGGACGUGUCCCGGACUGCGUGUAUCCGAAGAAAAAGCAUCGGCUAACUCCGUGCCAGCAGCCGCGGUAAUACGGAGGGUGCGAGCGUUAAUCGGAAUUACUGGGCGUAAAGCGCUCGUAGGCGGUAUGUCAAGUCAAGGGUGAAAUCCCCGCGCUCAACGUGGGAACUGCCUUUGAAACUGGCAAACUGGAGUGUGUGAGAGGAUAGUGGAAUUCCAGGUGUAGGAGUGAAAUCCGUAGAUAUCUGGAGGAACAUCAGUGGCGAAGGCGACUAUCUGGCACAUAACUGACGCUGAGGAGCGAAAGCGUGGGUAGCAAACAGGAUUAGAUACCCUUGUAGUC
RNAcentral lists this ribosomal RNA (460 nucleotides) under uncultured bacterium. RNAcentral describes it as "partial 16S ribosomal RNA". It matches the Rfam family "Bacterial small subunit ribosomal RNA", at positions 338 to 795 of the family's 1533-position model. The record is from RNAcentral.